GAGAUGCUCGAGGGCGCCUCGGAGACGGUGUCGAGCCGGGCGGGGAGGUCGGUGCCCGGCGAACACGUCGUGUAGUGGCAGCCGUUGAAGACCGACGGGUACGACUUGGGCGCCCCGUCGGUCGGCACCGAGCCGUCCGCCUGGCUGACCCGGAAACCGGUGCCGGUGGCGGUGACGCACUGGGUCGCGCUGGUGCCCCAGCGGUUGUUCUGGACGACGUACCGUCCCUGGAUCGUCGUCGUCCCGAACGGCUCGCAGACGGUGGUGUCCGCCUGGGCCGGCGCCGCCGCGGUCACGAGCGACGCCAUCACCGCCAGGGUGGCGAGCAGCGCUCCCGAAAUGCCGCGCAGGGUGCGGACUUGGGGCCGUAACGGUCGCAUGGGGGCCUCUCCGGAAGGGUGCGGGGGAAGGAGGGGCCGGUGCGGGAGCGCUCCCGACUCCCCACUGCUGGGAGCGCUCCCACUUACCGGUUGCAGGGGACUGUAGAAGCGGUUCAUGUUCCUGACAAGACUGUGCGCGCGAGCGUCGUCGAAGAGAGUUCGAAGCGCCAGGUGAGAGCGGUGCGGCCGGGAUCGGCCGCCGGGAGCGCUCCCGAAAGCUCCUCCGGAGCGGCCGGGUCAGGCGGACUCGCGGAGGACCAGCUCCGUACGGAGGAUGACGUGCCGCCAGGCUACGGGCGAGUCCUCCAUCUCCUCGAGCAGGAGCCGCACCAUGGUCCGGCCGAUCUCCCCCAGCGGCUGCCGGACCGUCGUCAGGGGCGGCUCCGCCGGACGGGCGGGAUGGAAGUCGUCGAACCCGAUCACCGCCACGUCCUGCGGCACCCGCCUGCCCGUCGCGCGCAGCGCGCUCAGCGCCCCCGCGGCCAGGGUGUCCGAGGCGGCGAAGACCGCGUCGAUACCGGGGUGCCGGGCGAUCAGCUCGGUCAUCGCCCGGCGACCGCUCUCCUCCGUGAAGUCGUCGCCCUCGACGACCAGCGAGUCCCUGACCGCCCUGCCCGCCUGCUCCAGGGCCUCCCGGUACCCGCGCAGCCGGCACUGGGCGACGUACAUGUCGAGCGGUCCGGUGAUCGCCCCGAUCGUGCCCCGGCCGCCGUUCAGCAGGUGCGUGACCGCGCCCCGCGCGCCGCCGGCGUUGUCCGCGUCGACAUAGGUGACGCUCUCGUCGCCGGAGCGCCGGCCCAGCAUGACGGUCGGCAGUCCCGCCUUGGCGAGCAUGUCCGGCAGCGGGUCCUCGGCGUGCACGGACAUCAGCAGUACGCCGUCGACCCGGCCGCCUCGCGCGUACUCCACCAAGCGCUGCCGUUCGGCGUCCGUGCGGACCAGGGUGAGCAGCAACUGCACCGGAGUGUCGGUGAGGGCGUCACCGACGGCAUGCACGAUCUCGGUGAAGAACGGUUCCCCGAACAGCCGCCAGUCCGGCUCCGUCAUGACCAGUGCGACGGCGUCCGCGCGGUGCCCGGCCAACGAACGGGCCGCCAGGUUCGGGACGUACCCCAGUUCGGCGAUGGCCCGCUGCACGGCGCGGCGGGUCGAAGCCCGUACGCCCGCGGCGUUGUUGAUGACCCUCGAGACGGUGCCCCGGCCGACACCGGCGAGGGCGGCCACCUCCUCCAACGUGGGCGUACCGGGACUCCGCCUGCCCAUGCGCGCCUCCCCCCGACGAGAUCGUCCGAUACUACGGUCACUUUCCCGGCCGGGCCGACCGAUCGGGGAGGGUGCCGGGAACUCCGGGCGGCCCGGUGACAACGCCGUGAGCGCCGCGGGCCGCCCGUGGAGAACCGGCGGACCGAGGCGGUCGCCCGGCCGUCAGUCGUCCAGCCGGACCGGCAUGAGCAGCGCGAACGUCGUCUCGUCGUCCGUCCGGCGGAUCGCCACGGGCGCCGUGGGGGCACCGAACUCCAGUACCAGCCGGUCCCGGUCCGCGGCGGCGAUCGCGUCCAGCAGGAACCCCCGGUCGACGGCGACGCCGCUCCCGUCGUCGUCGCCGUCCCCGCACACGGUGACCGUGCCGUCGUCCGCCACCCUGAGCACACUGACGUCACGGGAGGCGUCACCCGGCUCGCGCGCCGUGCCCGAGCGGACGGGACCGGUCUCCAACGCCUCACGGAAGGCGGCCGCUUCGACGACGGCCUGCCGACCGGACGGCAGGUGGACGAGCCUGCGGUAGUCCGGGAAGUCAUGGGCGAGGCACUGCCCGGCGGCCUGGCGGUCCCCGGCCACCAGCGUCACCCGGUCGCCCUCCACGGUGAGACCGACGGGCUCGUCCCCGCCCAGCAGCGCGCGCAUCGCCUCGGCGAGCGGGACGGGCACGGUCACCUGCACGCGCGGCCCGCCGUGACCGGCGGCGCCGAUCCGCGCGACGGCCAUCCGGUACCGGUCGGUGGCCACGAGGUGGAGCGUUCCGCCCUCCACGUCGAACAGGACACCACCGAGCAUCGGCAGAGCGGGGUCGGCGCUCGCCGCGUAACGGACCGCGUCCAGCGCGGCGGCCAGUUCGGGCGCGGGGACGGACAGCCGGGCGGUGGUGGUGCGCGGUGCGGUGGUCAUGGGGUUCUCCCUCUGGUCGAGCAGUGUCCGGAGCGCGGAGAACUCGCCGCGGGCAUCGGUCAGCCCGCGUUCGAGGCGGCGCAGGUGCGCCUGGAGGAGCCCGCGUACCAGGUCGGUGUCCGUACCGGACCAGCCGGCCAGCACCAGCCGGAUGUCCGCCAACGGCAUGCCGGCCCGUCGCAGCCGCGCCAGCAGCCGGGCCUCGUCCAGCUGUUCCGGCGCGUACCAGCGGUAGCCGCUCACCGGAUCCACCCAGGCGGGCACCAGCACACCCGCACGGUCGUAGAACCGCAGGGCGCUCGCGCCCAGUCCGCUGUCGCGAGCCAUCUCUCCAAUGCUGCGCAUCUCGCUCUCCACGUCCACGACUCUGAGCCCUUGACCAGGUCGAGGGUCAAUCCCGGCCGCCGCCGGGCCCACGACCGUCCCGGCCGUCUGCCAUUCUUGCGGCGUGCAGAAGCCCACCCCCGUGACUCCCGACGCCCCCGCGGCCAUGAGGGCACCGCUCCUCACCCAGGAAUGGCUCGACCCGGCCUUCGUCCACUGGGCCGUCGAGCCCGCUGCCGUGGCGGGUCUCAUGCCGCGCGGCACCGUUCCCGAUACG
Molecule: ribosomal RNA, 3147 nt
Filed under: Streptomyces mutabilis
Lineage: Bacteria; Bacillati; Actinomycetota; Actinomycetes; Kitasatosporales; Streptomycetaceae
Source: RNAcentral